RNAcentral lists this ribosomal RNA (5983 nucleotides) under Triticum aestivum (bread wheat). Its description in RNAcentral is "partial small subunit ribosomal RNA". The record is from RNAcentral. Lineage: Eukaryota; Viridiplantae; Streptophyta; Magnoliopsida; Poales; Poaceae.
GUUAGCACCGUGGAGCGUUUGGGAUGGGGAAAGGUGGUUAGGAGUGUCGGCGGUGUUCAGAGGGAGAAGGAGGUAGGAGGGGAGGGCGUAGGGUAGGGGAGAUGCGCCGCCGCCGCUGUCGUCGACACCCGCGCGUCGCCGUCCGCAUCCGCCCGCCACGUCCCUCCGCCUGCGCCAGCCCGGUGCCGCCGCCGUCCGCACCCACCGACGCCUUCCCGCGUCGCCUUCGCUCGUCGCGGCCCGCACGCGCCCCGCCGCGACCUCCCGCGCCCCGUCCCGCGCCGGCCGCGCACGCCACGCACUUGCUCCGCGCGUACCCCGCCGGUCCGCCCCGCUCGUCGUCGAACCGCCGUCAUCGCGCGCGCCAACCGCGGGUCUUCGUCGUCGCCCGAGCGCGCCCGCCGUGCCCCGCGCCGCACGUCUCGGCUGCCCGCCAUCGCCCGCCCCGUGUACGCCGGCCCGAGCACGCGCUCCGCGCCGGUCCCGCACCGGACUCCGCGGAUCCCAUCAACCACCACCGAGCGGAAGGCAGGAGCUCGGGGUGCGGGCAGGAAGAGAGACGUAGCGGAGGAGAAGGAGGGGAGGUCCGGAGAGGUGGCGCAGCAGUGUGGAUUUGUGGCCGCCCUACUCUCACUCCCGCCGCUCCCUCUCUCUCUGUCCUCCCCUAAGCACCGCGGUCCCCGAUACCGCCGCCGUUGUAACCCUUUCCGUCCCCUCCUCCUCCGUCACCGGCGACUACCUCUCCACGGAGAGGACGGUAGUUCUACGUAGGUCUUACCACUACUGCUCGCCGGCUAGUCACACCGGUACCAGAAUGCUUGCUGUCUCCGAAGAGAGGGGGGCGGAGAGGAGAACGGAGAGGAGGACGGAGAGGAGGUCCAGUGUCGACUUGGAGUAACCUUUCUCUAGCCGGACCAUGGAAAGGAGGGUGAGAGGAAGAAGAGGAGUACGGACCAUGUGAAGUCUAUACUCUAAUAACAACAACAUCGAAAAGUAAUAUUAAAAGAAAAUGAAGACAACUAGAUACAUUCUUUAAUCAAAAUAAACGGGUACUAUGACGACUUUUUGAACAAGUGAAGUUUAUCAUUUAGUAUAGGACAGUAAUAAGUUCUCCAUUUGACUCCUUUUCUUUCAUAGUUCUUUCGUUGGUAACACAUAUAUAGAAUCAUAUAUAAACGGGUAGCAAGAUGUUCUACGAUUAACGAAGUCGAAACCGAAUUGAACAACGAACCGAGGACUUUGACUCGUGUACAACCAUAAAGUAACAACAUGACCACAUACGUUCCCAAUAAAAGCACGUCUCCAAAACUUGACACUAAAAGAAGAGAAAGUUCAGAUUUCGUAAGCUGACUAUUAAAGUCCGUCCGUAAAGCUAAAAGACAGUACGAAGAUCUAUAGUUUGCACCGACUCUUUCAAGGUAAAAAUUUUCCCCGACCUCGAGGUACCGAAUGUCUAGAUUGCUGGGGACUACGAGAAACGUAUAAAGGGUACUAUUGUAGUUACAAGCAGUACGAAGGGAAACUCCUCGUCGUCCACGUCUACGCACACGCUCCUCGCGGCAGCCAGCUGGUCGCAAGAAAGAAGCAGUCCUUCCCACGUCGGACGAUGAGUUCGGGGAGAGGAAGCGAGGAACGUCUCGUCCUCUCCGUACCCGUGGUGGUGUGAACUCUCUACCUGCUCCUGUACUUCGAAAGCACCUCUCCUGCUCCACCGGCGGCGUCGUGGGGGUGCGGCGCCUGCGCCUCUAAGGGUAGGACAGACGGGGGCUAUUGGUGAAGCCGCCGCGGUACUUGCCUUUGUUAGCGGAGAAGUACCGUCCGCGUCUGGCGUACCAGCAGAAGGAGAGGCCGAAGAAGAUGUGGUAGUCUGAGUCUGGGAGAGGGCGAGGGAGAGGGAGACGUAGAGAUAUUUUUAUACGAGUCCAGUUGAUCCUCUACUACGUUCGGUUCCGCGAGUGUGGCUAAAUUCUACCACACCCACUAGUUAUCUUCUGUUUACUUAUGUGACUACCUUCCGGUACAGUUUCAUGGAAAGAUAAAACAUAAAAUAAAAACAAAUCCUAGAUGAUAUUAAAGGGUUUUUCAAAAAUAAGGACUUUAAGUAACAUGUAUGUACGAACCAAAAUGAAGUCAAUUAUAUAUUACCCGUAAGAUAUUAAUGAUUCUUGACUAUACACUCUCACACGGAGGGACAAAAACUUUUCUAUUGAUGAAAACCAAUAUCUAGUACUGAUCUAAUUCAUCCGAAUAUAUUAUUAAAAAGUAACAAGGUGAGUAUCUUUGAAUUGACGACGUUACAAUUAUGUAAUAUCAGUAGGAAGUGCUGGAACACUAACCGACGGUACAGACGCGUUAUAGGACACUGUACAGCAUACCAAUAAAAAACGUUGUUUCCAUGGAACACCAGUCGCCUGAACGGUUCCAUCGCCACAAACUGGAUCCCAACACCGGUAGUAAUACGAACUAGCGCUCUACCGUGAUAGGGGACGCAACAACACCAGUAACUACACCCUCCUUGCUAGCCAGUAGCGAGCUAGAGUUCUACUGGUACUGUGGAUCCGACACCAGUACACCGGCGGCGGCUGCCCCUUCGUAAGGGUAAUUAAGACUUAGACGUUCAAACCUUAGUAGAGGGGGUAAGUCGAUUCGAUGUGUAUAAAACGAAGAUAAAAAAAGAAAGAUCCAGAGCCUGGUAGAGGUAAGACCAUUUAUGGAGUAGUGUAUUUGCAGUAACCAGGGACCACACGGGUAAGGGAAGGAAUGAAAGAGGUAUAACCAAUACUACGUACCAGAGAAAGGUCGAUACUCUUUACUAUAUGACGUAUGACGUAUGAUUACUAUCCUAUCUACUAAAUACUACAUGAUAAAAUCUAUUGCCAUGAUUCAAAAAUAAGGUAUCUACUAUAAACCAAAAUAAGAUGUAAAAAAAGGAAACGUUUCUAUCUAUAAUAUUCUCUAUUUAUCGUACAUGUACAAUUGGAAAAAAACGCCCCUACAUGUCCAAUUGGAAUAUAUCGGAAAAAAUACUCGCUAUUAGAUUGUGAAUGUUCUAGUAGAAUCCUAAAGGAUUACCUAGGACAUGUGUAAGGUGGUUCCUAAUAAAAUCUACGAUACGACUUUCUGUGAUAUCGAGGGUUUUAGAAAUAUGAUGUGGGUCGGAUGUCCUUUGCAAUCAUAUCUCUGACACUGACUCAAAAUAGGUAAAGACGUCGUGAACGGUUUCUCGUGACAGUUCUCUAAACAAAAAGCCAGACUCAGUAGAACGAUGAAAAAGUCCAAAUAAAUGUAUACUUUAGUGGUAUUAAAAACGGUACCGAGACCAAGAUCUAUAUCACGAAUUUUCGUGAUAGGGUAGGACUAAUAAAGGUAUGUCAAAAAACAGAGUGACUUAUAGCAGAAGCUCUUGACCCGUUAGAAACUCAGGUACUUCUCGUGAGCGUGCCAGUUCGUGGUACUCUAGAAGUAGGCGUUGCGGCUCACGCAACACGAGAAGUGUCUGGAACUUCUACUCCGGUCUCUCUAGGCGGCGGAUGACCCAAGCUAGCCUACGGUAGCUAAAGUGGGUGGCGGUUACUGCUGUUCCGGCCACCGAAACCGUAACUCGCUAUAUGAAGUGGAGUGUGCACUUCUUUAUUCUAAAAACUCCUAAUCCUAAUAAUUACUUUAUAUUACUCGUAGAAAAUGGUGGUUACCGGAUACUUCAGAGUGGCAUAAUUCUGUGUACGUAGUGACAAUCAGUAGGUUCGUUUUGGUGUCAGUCUAUUUAGUCGAAUUAAUAAGAUGAUGAAGAAAGUCUACUGUCGACAAUUUGUUCUCCUCCAUCUGUGUUGGUCACUAUGGUCGCCACUGGUUAAUGGUUACCAUUAAGACUUUUUGUAUGAAUACUAACUAGUCAGAAAAAAAUAGUGAAUACGUACGUUCAACUAGUUAAUACAUUAUUUUGUUUAAGAAAGUCCCAGGUCAUCCACAAGACAAACGAUAAGUAAUUACGAGACUAAAUAAACGACAAUGUACAUUUUCGUGACGAAUGACGAAGGGUGACUGGUAUAUGUUAUCUAUCAGAAAAGAUAGAAAGUGCUCAUGUGUGUUCGAUUAAUCGGGGAGACAAACAAAUACAACAGGAGAUAAACGAUAACGUUUGAGAAUGGUACUAGAGGAAUAGAUAAGUUGUGUUUGCUUGGUGAACAGUCUUCGUGUUAUUCCGUAUGCUCAUUUAAGUAGCGGGUACCUUUCGUUUGAGUUAGGUUUUCAAGUUUCCGUUCUUUUAGGUACCAUUCUCGAUGUAAUGAGAAGAGUAAGGUAGUUGAGAGCGUUGUUGAUGAUUUUCUAUAUUGAAACAUGUUGAAUUGUAUCCACUCGGAACGUAGGUGAUGAAUCUACUCAAAUCAGUGGUGUAACACACCCGGUUGUGUCAAUUCGAGAUGUUGGUAUUACAGGCAUGUGACGCUUUCUAGUAGGCGUCGUGGUGGUGCGGACUAUUGAUGAUACACACGGUGUACUGUCUUUGUAAACGUUGUGUUCCGUUUUCUUACCAUCAGGAAACGUUAAUGAGACAGGCCAAAGUAUAUUAUCGUACCAUAUUUUACUAUAUCACUGAUUGGAAAUGAUAAUAAAAGUCAUGAAAUCGCAAGGAAAAAGAUCCCCAAGGUAAAGGGUGUGUACCUACGACUGGUACCACUUGACGGUUAGUGAUGACCUCUGCCUUGACGGCGACAGUGCCGGGCGAAAUAGUUCCCACAAGUGUUUUCCCGUUGGUAGUGACUUCCGACCUCGCUGAAGAAGGCAGUCCGUGUGUACUUGCUUCCCGUUCAUAUGCGAAAGCGGAAGUUUACGUGAAGGUUCCCUGACACGGACUAGCAGAUGAGUUAUAUUCGUUCAACGUUCUCGGGGAACAAUAUAUUGAAUCAUAAUCAUAUCUAUGGAUGGUUCUGAAGGCCCAAAUAGUAGGAAAACCUAGAAUACAUUAGGGGAUUCUGGUAGGACACGUAAAUCGAUAGCCAAUAAACGACGAAUCUGACGAUACACCAUACGAAAACUUUGUUGGAACUACCUUCUUUAUAUACGAAAGUAGAAAUUCACGUGUAGGUUUCUGGAAACGUACUAACAGAUAGGUUAGAUUUGUCUAGUUUUCUUAGUAAAAGAUGUACUGAAUAACUUAGUAAAGGUUAGAAUACAUGAUUGACGCAUAUCUUACUCGAUAAGAAAAGCUUAUUGUUAUACAAUUACGUACGAGAAUGUUAUUAAUCGAAUGUGAGUCGGAAACGCGGUAACCGCGUUGCCCAGUAGAUCACGUCUCUUGCUCACGCCGCCGGCUUCGGUCUGGGGAGGAGGAGAGCCUCCUGUGCCGGCCGCACGCGGUCACGCCGCUGGUGCUGCUCUUCUCGCGAUCAACUCUCGCCGGACCUGCUCCUGCCGCAGCCGCACCAUGUCGGCUGGUGCUGGGACUUCGACCCGCACGGCCGCUCGAUUGAGUAGGCAACACAAAAGUGGGCCAAAGUGGAGGACGACAACCUACGCUUUUCUUGCCGGAUGUGCGUAGUUGCAGGGAGCCGUCAUCAAAGAGGAUGCAGUCUCCUAGAGCAAGGGAGAGCCACAGACUUAGACCUCUACGUGGGUGCCUCGGCGGCAAGUUACUUACUCACGAAAUACGUUCCCUGUGUUUGUUCUCGGUCAACCCUUCCUGGUUCACUAAUAGUAACAGGCCUGUCAUGACUGUCUCUUUAGUGCGAACCUAAACAUGUCGACCAGGAACGGAAUUCGAGGUAAUUACUCACAUGCUUGUGACGUAAACGAUAGACAGAAGGACAAGAAUUUGUAGUUCGCGGAGAAGAAAAGAAAAAGAAAAAAACUCAGCUUCGCAUCCUAGCAGUAAAAGGGGAAAAAUAAAGGGCCACAGGAAAACGAUCACGAUACCGGGAGCCGGGCAAUCCUCCGGGUCCACCGGGGUUAGGUCAAAGAGCAACAACCUACGGUUAAGCUAAAA